Molecule: ribosomal RNA, 253 nt
Filed under: uncultured bacterium
Lineage: Bacteria
Description: partial 16S ribosomal RNA
Rfam family: Bacterial small subunit ribosomal RNA
Source: RNAcentral
UACGUAGGGUGCAAGCGUUGUCCGGAAUUAUUGGGCGUAAAGAGCUCGUAGGCGGUUUGUCGCGUCGAAUGUGAAAACCCGGGGCUCAACCCCGGGCCUGCAUUCGAUACGGGCAGACUAGAGUUCGGUAGGGGAGUCUGGAAUUCCUGGUGUAGCGGUGAAAUGCGCAGAUAUCAGGAGGAACACCGAUGGCGAAGGCAGCUCGCUGGGACGGUACUGACGCUGAGGCGCGAAAGCGUGGGGAGCGAACAGG